CCUACGGGAGGCUGCAGUGAGGAAUAUUGGUCAAUGGGCUUACGCCUGAACCAGCCAAGUCGCGUGAGGGAAGACUGCCCUAUGGGUUGUAAACCUCUUUUGUCAGGGAGCAACGCCGGCUACGUGUAGCCUGACUGAGAGUACCUGAAGAAAAAGCAUCGGCUAACUCCGUGCCAGCAGCCGCGGUAAUACGGGGGAUGCGAGCGUUAUCCGGAUUUAUUGGGUUUAAAGGGUGCGUAGGCGGAAUGCCAAGUCAGCGGUAAAAUCGCGGGGCUCAACCUCGCUCUGCCGUUGAAACUGGCGUUCUUGAGUGGGCGGGAAGUAUGCGGAAUGCGUGGUGUAGCGGUGAAAUGCAGAGAUAUCACGAAGAACUCCGAUUGCGAAGGCAGCAUACCGGCGCUCAACUGACGCUGAAGCACGAAAGCGUGGGUAUCGAACAGGAUUAGAUACCCCAGUAGUC
RNAcentral lists this ribosomal RNA (460 nucleotides) under uncultured bacterium. RNAcentral describes it as "partial 16S ribosomal RNA". It matches the Rfam family "Bacterial small subunit ribosomal RNA", at positions 338 to 795 of the family's 1533-position model. The record is from RNAcentral.